Long non-coding RNA from Piliocolobus tephrosceles (Ugandan red Colobus), 2689 nucleotides. RefSeq lists it as uncharacterized. The transcript has 3 exons. Lineage: Eukaryota; Metazoa; Chordata; Mammalia; Primates; Cercopithecidae. The record is from RefSeq and is a predicted model, not a curated record.
GUUUCACCGCGUUGGCCAGGCUGGUCUCAAACUCCUGACCUCAAGUGAUCUGCCUGCCUCAGGCUCCCAAAGUGCUGGGAUUACAGGUGUGAGCCACUGCACCUGGCCGGUCAGCAUCUUUUCAACACAGCCAGUCUCUGUGGAAUGAACCCUUCGUGUUCACCUUCCUUACCUGCCCCUGAAGUCCCUCCUUCCUGCAGGGCCCAACUCCACGUAGAGUGAGUGCAGCCACACAGCAGUAACCAGAUAGAGCAGCCUCCCCUGCAGACAUGAGCAAAGAAGGGAUCCAGAGAGCCAAGGCUGUAUCCUGAAAAGCAAGAAGGAUAGGGAGUAGGGCAAGUGCAGCAAAGAAGGGAAAUUAAAAGGGCAGGACCAAGGCUUUGUAGACCACAAGAAGGAAGAGAAUGUGCUCACAUAGAUUCUUGUGGGGUCAAAGGGGCAGUCGGUGUGUCCCGGCCCCUCAUCCAGUGGUACCAGAGGAUCCAGCAGUCCUGGGUGGCAGUCAGCAAUAAGGCGGCGGCCACCGUUGGCCACAGUGAGUGACACGGCAAGAAGAAGGCCCAGAGAGCAGGCAGCGGACAAGAGCAGGUUCACCAGAGCUAGCACCAGCAGGGCCCAGUGCUGGCAGGGACAGAUCAGGGUGAACAGCCUGGGCCUGGCUAACUCCCAGUGACUAGACACCCAGUUUCUCUAUUUGAGGCUCCUCCAAUCUAUUGAAAGACCAAUCUCAGCCCCCAUUUCCCUGACUCAAGCCUACUCUAAAAGCUCCAGGAAGUCCCUUCUCACCAGUGGAGGGCGAAGAAGGUUCCUGGACGCCAGGAGAGCCACAAGUCCCACGGAAACGCUCUGUGGAAGACACAAAGCCUUUGGCUUGAUGGGCUUUCUGGGCGCCCGACCCCCGCCCCGGGCCGCCUGCCGCGCUCACCAGCAGCCCCGAGCCGACGGAGAUGACAUUGGCCACGGUGUACUCUGGCGUGACAGCGCCACGGGGAUUGGCCACGUGCCGCAGGACAGUGCCGUGCAGCACAGCCCCCAGCAGCAAGUUCACGUGGCCCACCAGGAUCAGCGCCAGGCCCACGCGCAUCAGCCGCCGGGGCCCCCGGGCGGCGUCUGCAAAGCACGGCAGACAAGUCAGCCGGCUCUGGUCAGCCUAGGGGAGAAGUGCUCAGUGACAUGGGGGCUGAGGAAGAGAAGGCAUGAGGGCAGCCAGGGCAGAUGAAGGCAGAAACCUCACCUCACUAAUGAAGCCCAGCUGUACCAGCUCAGCUGCCAACUCAGGGAUGUUCUCAUCUGACAGAGAAACAGGAGGGGCCAUGGAGACAAUCCACACCCACACAGCCCCCACCUUGCGAGUCUCCACCUCAGCUGGUUCAGGUGUCGGAGUCUUGACAGAGGGAGGCACAACAGGUGAUGUCACCUCCUCCUGCUGUGGCUGCUGGGGCCGAGGCAGCCCAAAGGCUGUCAGAGGAUAGAUCCCAUUCCUGGAAGAAGAUGAAGACAGGUCACAUGGACUCUGUGAAUGCCUUAGGAUACCCAACCCUGCUUGCUUUCUCAAGAAAGCCUGCCUUCUCACUCUGCUCUCACCUGACAUCUUCAAGGAAUUUAUCUAAUUCCAGAGCUGGUGACUGAGAGUACCUGGAGGAGAAAAGAGAAAGGAGAUGGAAGGAAGGAAACAAGCAAAAUAGCAAAUUCAACCAUUCCCAGAGAAUGGACAGUUUACAGAGCCUCAAGAGUGAUAGUGACCAAUUUGCCUCUUUCAGACCCUCUCAGUUACUCACAAAGUCUGAACUGGUUCUCUUCCUGGUCCUGCAGGGAUUUCAGCCAGUACAGCACUGGUAUCCAUGUUUUUGGUGAUCUCCUCCAGAGCAUUCUCUGGGAUCAUGUCUGGAUGGAGUGGGAUGUUAUGAAGGGACAGUCAGAUUAAAUGUCAUAGAAGGCAUGCAGGCAAAGGGGUAAAGAAUCCCUUUGGAGGCCUGGCGCAGUGUCUCAUGCCUGUAAUCCCAGCACUUUGGGAAGCCGAGGUGGACAGAUCACUUGACGCCAGGAGUUCAAGACCAGCCUGGCCAACAUGGCGAAACUCCAUCUCUACUAAAAGUACAGAAAUUAGCCAGGCAUGGUGGCACAUGCCUGUAAUCCCAGCUAUUCGGGAGGCUGAGGCACAAGAAUCGCUUAAGCCCGGGAGCUGGAAAUUGCAAUGAGCUGAGAUCAAGCCAUUGCACUCCAGCCUGGGAGACAGAGUGACACUCUGUCUCAAAAAAAAAAAAAAAAUCCCUUUGGAUAUGGAAGAGGAAAGCAAGCAUGCCAGUGAUAGUUACAGGGUUCCAGACUGGAAGACUAUUCCCCACAGGGCCAAGAGGACUCACGUUGGUGUCCCACAAUGCAGUGGGCAGCAAGGAGUUUGAGCGACGGCACUUCAAACAAUGCUGGGUGGAACAGAAGUUCUCUGGCUGUUGGUCUGCGAGCAGGUUCAGACUGCAGGCACUUUUGAAUGAAUUCCUAGAAAAGAAAAGAAAAGGAACUGGAGCAGGCAUCUGGCAAGCCCCUCAAUGCGUUCAUCUUUAUAACUCUCAUUCUACUUAGCACAAGGCUUUGUACAUAGUAGGGGCUCAGCACUUGCUGAGAAAACAAUAUAUUGAUAAAUGCACCUGAAAGGGCUUCAAAAACUCAAGAUAUUAUAUGAAAGACACCA